This 71-nucleotide transfer RNA is filed under the name Fukomys damarensis (Damara mole-rat). It matches the Rfam family "tRNA". Rfam says of the family: Transfer RNA (tRNA) molecules are approximately 80 nucleotides in length. The record is from Rfam by way of RNAcentral. Lineage: Eukaryota; Metazoa; Chordata; Mammalia; Rodentia; Bathyergidae.
UGGGUGCAAGCUCAAUGGUAGAGCACUUGUCUUGCAUGCAUGAGGCCCUGGGUUCAAUCACCAGCACCCUA